GAUUAUAGUAGGAUGCUUGCAUUAGUUUCACAAAGAUGACGCAUUGCAUAAUACGAUGUGUAUGAGGCUGUGGAUAGACCAAGGCGACUCCAAUAGCCCAAGCUCUGUUAUAAGACCUGGCCGGGCCAGGCAGCCAUCUGUAGGUAAGACCUGACUAGAGCAGGCACCAGAGAUAGUAAGACCUGGCUGGGCCAGGCAGGCAGAGUUGUAAGACCUGGCCGGGCCAGGCAGAUUGAGGUUGUCAGACCUGGCUAGGCCAGGCAUCCUUUCAGUGGGAUUUUUGGUGGUCAUGUCUAUCCCUGAGAUGAUGUGCUGUAGUGCAUUCCAUGAGAUCAUGUUUUGAAAUUAUGUUUUAUAGUUCUGCUCAUUGGGCUUGUAUAGCUCAUCCCUCUCCCCUAUCCCCCAGGUUUGCAGGUUCAGAGUUCAGAGGGAGUCCAGCAGGGUUUGCAAGAAGAAGAGUU
Molecule: long non-coding RNA, 461 nt
Filed under: Manihot esculenta (cassava)
Lineage: Eukaryota; Viridiplantae; Streptophyta; Magnoliopsida; Malpighiales; Euphorbiaceae
Description: long non-coding RNA (MESC_LNC005338)
Source: RNAcentral